ACGCGAAGAACCUUACCUACCCUUGACAUGCCCGGAAUCCCGCAGAGAUGUGGGAGUGCCCGAAAGGGAGCCGGGGCACAGGUGCUGCAUGGCUGUCGUCAGCUCGUGUCGUGAGAUGUUGGGUUAAGUCCCGCAACGAGCGCAACCCUUGUCACUAGUUGCUACGAAAGGGCACUCUAGUGAGACUGCCGGUGACAAACCGGAGGAAGGUGGGGAUGACGUCAAGUCCUUAUGGCCCUUAUGGGUAGGGCCUCACACGUCAUACAAUGGCCGGUACAAAGGGCUGCCAACCCGCGAGGGGGAGCUAAUCCUGGAAAGCCGGUCGUAGUCCGGAUUGCAGUCUGCAACUCGACUGCAUGAAGUCGGAAUCGCUAGUAAUCGUGGAUCAGCAUGUCACGGUGAAUACGUUCCCGGGUCUUGUACACACCG
This 429-nucleotide ribosomal RNA is filed under the name uncultured bacterium. RNAcentral describes it as "bacterial SSU rRNA". It matches the Rfam family "Bacterial small subunit ribosomal RNA", at positions 959 to 1392 of the family's 1533-position model. The record is from RNAcentral.